Molecule: unclassified non-coding RNA, 316 nt
Filed under: plant metagenome
Description: partial contains 5.8S ribosomal RNA, internal transcribed spacer 2, and large subunit ribosomal RNA
Rfam family: 5.8S ribosomal RNA (bases 1-105)
Source: RNAcentral
GAAAUGCGAUAACUAGUGUGAAUUGCAGAAUUCCGUGAAUCAUCGAGUCUUUGAACGCACAUUGCGCCCCCUGGUAUUCCGGGGGGCAUGCCUGUCCGAGCGUCAUUGCUGCCCAUCAAGCACGGCUUGUGUGUUGGGUCGUCGUCCCCUCUCCGAGGGGGACGGGCCCCAAAGGCAGCGGCGGCACCGCGUCCGAUCCUCGAGCGUAUGGGGCUUUGUCACCCGCUCUGUAGGCCCGGCCGGCGCUUGCCGAACGCAAAUCAAUCUUUUUCCAGGUUGACCUCGGAUCAGGUAGGGAUACCCGCUGAACUUAAGC